GACGGAGGGUGCUAGCGUUGUUCGGACUCACUGGGCGUAAAGGGCGCGUAGGCGGCCCAUGCCGUCGGCUCGUGAAAGCCCGGGGCUCAACCCCGGAGGUGCGGCCGAGACCCAUGGGCUGGAGGCCGGAAGAGGAGGGUGGAAUACCCAGUGUAGAGGUGAAAUUCGUAGAUAUUGGGUGGAACACCGGUGGCGAAAGCGGCUCUCUGGUCCGGUUCUGACGCUGAGGCGCGAAAGCGUGGGGAGCAAACAGG
RNAcentral lists this ribosomal RNA (254 nucleotides) under uncultured bacterium. RNAcentral describes it as "partial 16S ribosomal RNA". It matches the Rfam family "Bacterial small subunit ribosomal RNA", at positions 524 to 776 of the family's 1533-position model. The record is from RNAcentral.